This 238-nucleotide long non-coding RNA is filed under the name Gossypium barbadense (sea-island cotton). RNAcentral's name for it is "long non-coding RNA (GBAR_LNC007652)". The record is from RNAcentral. Lineage: Eukaryota; Viridiplantae; Streptophyta; Magnoliopsida; Malvales; Malvaceae.
GUGUCAACUCCCCACCAAAACUUUACCGUAUCUUCUUUGCAUCUCCCCUUGUCUCCCUGUUCUUACAUUUUCGUAUACUGACAACUCAAAAAGAGUUUCCUAUAUAAACAUGGCUGAAUUUUUCAAUAAUCUAAACUUAUUCUCUUAUCAUGCUUCAUUACUCGAAUGCAACCAUCCAUCCAUUGCCCAAGAAAACCACCGCUCACUUCUGCUUUCCACCCACCAAACCUCAUUAUAA